Molecule: ribosomal RNA, 411 nt
Filed under: uncultured bacterium
Lineage: Bacteria
Description: bacterial SSU rRNA
Rfam family: Bacterial small subunit ribosomal RNA
Source: RNAcentral
GAACGAGAAAGUGGAGCAAUCCAUGAGUACAGUGGCGUACGGGUGAGUAACACGUGACUAACCUACCCUCGAGUGGGGAAUAACCUCGGGAAACCGGGGCUAAUACCGCAUAACAUCUACGGAUCAAAUGCGCAAGCAGCUUGAGGAGGGGGUCGCGGCCGAUUAGCUAGUUGGCGGGGUAAUGGCCCACCAAGGCAAUGAUCGGUAGCCGGCCUGAGAGGGCGCACGGCCACACUGGAACUGAAACACGGUCCAGACUCCUACGGGAGGCAGCAGUGGGGAAUUUUGCGCAAUGGGGGAAACCCUGACGCAGCAACGCCGCGUGGAGGAUGAAGCCCCUUGGGGUGUAAACUCCUUUCGAUCGGGACGAUUAUGACGGUACCGGAUGAAGAAGCACCGGCUAACUCUGUG